This 282-nucleotide transfer-messenger RNA is filed under the name Marsupiomonas sp. NIES 1824. It matches the Rfam family "transfer-messenger RNA". From Rfam's summary of the family: Bacterial tmRNA, also known as 10Sa RNA or SsrA, is named for its dual tRNA and mRNA-like properties. Its role is to liberate the mRNA from a stalled ribosome. To accomplish this part of the tmRNA is used as a reading frame that ends in a translation stop signal. The record is from RNAcentral. Lineage: Eukaryota; Viridiplantae; Chlorophyta; Pedinophyceae; Marsupiomonadales; Marsupiomonadaceae.
GGGGCUGCUUUGGUUUCGACAGGGCUAUUUUUUGAUUAAUGGUUAAUCAAUAACACCAAAAUAUAAUUGGCAACAACAUUCUUCCUUUUUCUCGCCAAGCAACUGCCGUUGCCUAAUCGCGAAUAUCACUUUAUCCCCUAAAGGGAAAAAAACUCAUCUCGAUGAUCGACGAUCAUUGCUAUUCUUAUCUAAUCCCUGCUAAUUGGGUCAAUUUAGCUACAGAAUUGUGAAAAAAGUCAUAAAUCAAUGUUCUGGACGUGGGUUCGAUUCCCACCAGCUCCA